Molecule: ribosomal RNA, 508 nt
Filed under: uncultured bacterium
Lineage: Bacteria
Description: partial 16S ribosomal RNA
Rfam family: Bacterial small subunit ribosomal RNA
Source: RNAcentral
AUUGAACGCUGGCGGCAUGCCUUACACAUGCAAGUCGAACGGCAGCGGGGGAGAAGCUUGCUUUUCCUGCCGGCGAGUGGCGAACGGGUGAGUAAUACAUCGGAACGUGCCCUGUAGUGGGGGAUAACUAGUCGAAAGAUUAGCUAAUACCGCAUACGACCUGAGGGUGAAAGUGGGGGACCGCAAGGCCUCAUGCUAUAGGAGCGGCCGAUGUCUGAUUAGCUAGUUGGUGGGGUAAAGGCCUACCAAGGCGACGAUCAGUAGCUGGUCUGAGAGGACGAUCAGCCACACUGGGACUGAGACACGGCCCAGACUCCUACGGGAGGCAGCAGUGGGGAAUUUUGGACAAUGGGCGAAAGCCUGAUCCGGCGAUGCCGCGUGUGUGAAGAAGGCCUUCGGGUUGUAAAGCACUUUUGUCCGGAAAGAAAUGGCUCUGGUUAAUACCUGGGGUCGAUGACGGUACCGGAAGAAUAAGGACCGGCUAACUACGUGCCAGCCGCCGCGGUAA